CCUAGGUCGGAUUACUAUUGGUGGGGUAAUGGCUCACCAAGGCGACGAUCCGUAACUGGUCUGAGAGGAUGAUCAGUCACACUGGAACUGAGACACGGUCCAGACUCCUACGGGAGGCAGCAGUGGGGAAUAUUGGACAAUGGGCGAAAGCCUGAUCCAGCCAUGCCGCGUGUGUGAAGAAGGUCUUCGGAUUGUAAAGCACUUUAAGUUGGGAGGAAGGGCAGUAAAUUAAUACUUUGCUGUUUUGACGUUACCGACAGAAUAAGCACCGGCUAACUCUGUGCCAGCAGCCGCGGUAAUACAGAGGGGUGCAAGCGUUAAUCGGAAUUACUGGGCGUAAAGCGCGCGUAGG
This 352-nucleotide ribosomal RNA is filed under the name uncultured bacterium. RNAcentral's name for it is "bacterial SSU rRNA". It matches the Rfam family "Bacterial small subunit ribosomal RNA", at positions 230 to 575 of the family's 1533-position model. The record is from RNAcentral.